This 264-nucleotide ribosomal RNA is filed under the name uncultured Enterobacteriaceae bacterium. RNAcentral describes it as "partial 16S ribosomal RNA". It matches the Rfam family "Bacterial small subunit ribosomal RNA", at positions 355 to 612 of the family's 1533-position model. Lineage: Bacteria; Pseudomonadati; Pseudomonadota; Gammaproteobacteria; Enterobacterales; Enterobacteriaceae. The record is from RNAcentral.
UGGGGAAUAUUGCACAAUGGGCGCAAGCCUGAUGCAGCCAUGCCGCGUGUAUGAAGAAGGCCUUCGGGUUGUAAAGUACUUUCAGCGAGGAGGAAGGCAUUAAGGUUAAUAACCUUGUGAUGACUGUAUCUCGCAGAAGAAGCACCGGCUAACUCCGUGCCAGCAGCCGCGGUAAUACGGAGGGUGCAAGCGUUAAUCGGAAUUACUGGGCGUAAAGCGCACGCAGGCGGUCUGUUAAGUCAGAUGUGAAAUCCCGCCAGGCUG